AUAGCGUAUAUUAAAGUUGUUGCAGUUAAAACGCUCGUAGUUGAACUUCAGACCUGGCUGGGCGGUCCGCUUAACGGCGUGUACUGUCCGGCUGAGUCUUACCUCUUGGUGAGCCAGUGUGCCCUUUAUUGGUGUGCAUUGGGGAACCAGGACUUUUACCUUGAGAAAAUUAGAGUGUUCAAAGCAGGCCUAUGCCUGAAUACAUUAGCAUGGAAUAAUAAAAUAGGACGUGCGGUUCUAUUUUGUUGGUUUCUAGAGUCGCCGUAAUGAUUAAUAGGGAUAGUUGGGGGCAUUGGUAUUGAGUCGCUAGAGGUGAAAUUCUUGGAUUGACUCAAGACCAACUAUUG
This 347-nucleotide ribosomal RNA is filed under the name uncultured eukaryote. RNAcentral's name for it is "SSU rRNA". It matches the Rfam family "Eukaryotic small subunit ribosomal RNA", at positions 594 to 945 of the family's 1831-position model. The record is from RNAcentral.